GCAGCCUGGACUCCUGGGCCACGGGAACAGUGUGGGCUGGGAGGGAGGUGUUAUGGUUGGAGAUAAUGUGGUCAGCAGGGAAGAAGGCUGCUUCCCAGGUGGAACAAAGGGCUCCCUUCCUGUAGGGGAGACUCUCAAAAUACCUGAGCUGGUUCUGGCCUGGUUAUAAACAUAACUGACUUCAUCAGAGGUUGUGAAGGCUGGUGACAUCCAUUUACCGGAGGUGAUGUGUUUGGGGGUUAUUUAUGCUUUUCUCUUUCUGAAGAAAGAAUAUCUGAUUGGGAUCCUAGUGUCACUCUUUAACUUAGGUGAUGUAGAAAAUGCAGCUGGGUGGUGCAGUGGGGAGAGAAUGACCUUUGAAUUUGGGGGUAGAACUUGGGUCAGAGUAGAGGGGUUGGUAUAGGAGAUGGGAGCUUGCUAAAGACCUCUGGCUUCUAGAAAAUCGUUCCAAAGCCACAUCUUCUCUAGGCAUGGUGGGGUCACACACGUAAUCCCAGCCCUUUGCGAGACCAAGGCAAAAGGAUCACUUGAGGCCGGGAGUUCAAGACCAGCCUAGGCAACAUAGAGAGACCCUGUCUCUACAAAAAAGAAGUUAACUGGGUAUGGUGGUGCACGCCGCUAGUCCCAGCUACUUGCCACUCAGGGAGACUGAGACGGGAAGAUCACAUGAUCCUAAGAGUUGAGGCUGUAUGAGCUGUGAUUGCACUACUGUGCUCCAACCUGGGUGAAAAAAAGGCACAUCUUCUACAACGAUUGGCAGUCAUGGCUGCAUGCCUGCAUUUUCCAAUCCUUAACUGUCUCACAGGCUCUGUUUGGGAGCCUGCUGAGCAGUUUGCUUUGGAUAGGUACUGUUUGAGGGAUUUUAAAGUGAUUGAGACCAAGGAAGUGUAAUGGGGUGUAGAGACCUAUGGCGUAUUAGAAAUUUGGAGCCAUCAUCUGUAACAGGAAGAACUUUCCUGACCAUUCAUGGGAUUUGUGUAACCUGUGAAAAGGGUCUUGGAGAUUGCAGGUACAGCAUACCUGGUGGCUUUCAAGGGACUUUGAGAACUAAUAAAUGGGCAUUUCUGCUGCCAGAGGAUAGUGUGGUUUGUGACUCUGUGGCUGGUCAUACAGAGAAGAUUGACAUGCAGUGGGUGGAAGGUUGGGAGUGCAAAAGGCUGCCAUUGAGCUAGUCAGGGACCCGUUUGAAUAAUGAGUGAUGGGUGAGACUAUGUGUCCCUAGGUGGAGUUGGGGAGGGAACAGGGAAAGUUGUGUGAGACUUUCUAGAAGGUGCAGUGGUUAGAGCAGGCACAUUCAUGUUGCUGUCAGUAACAGAACUGAAGGCAAGAUCUGAGCUGGAGCAUGGUAGAGACCCAAAGUGGGAGAGACUGUCUGCCCACAGGGAGUUUAUGGUCGGAAGGGGACAGGAAGUACAGGUAUAAAGUAACACAAAGCAGACUGUUUAAACCACGCAGUGGAGUUACAACCAAAAGUGGUAGAAAUGCAGAGGAAGAGGGGAGCAGAGAGCACCUGACAUGGGCUUGAGUUUGGAAGGGGAAAAUGAAGGGCCUUCCAGGUGGAACAGCAUGAGUGUUCAGAGGUAGCACGUAUAUGGUUUAUGGAGAAUGGUUUGCCUGGUGAGUAGGAAGUUCUGAGAAGCAAAACCUGGAAAAAUUGGAUUGAGUUAGCAUAUAGGAGGCUUAAUGCCCUGCUAAGGAAACUAUACUUAGGCCAGGCGUGGGUUACGCUUGUAAUCCCAGUACUCUGGGAGGCUGAGGCAGGAGGAUUGCUUGAGCCAAGAAAUUUGAGACCAGCCUGGGCAACAUAGUGUCUAUAAAAAAAUAGAAAAAUUAGCCAGGUGUGGUGGCACAUGCCUGUAGUCCCAUCUACUAGGGAGGCUGAGAUAGGAGGAUCACUUUGAGCCUGGAAGGUGGCGGUUGCAGUGAGCUAUGAUCACACCACUUCACUCUAACCUGGGUAACAGGGUGAGACUCUGUCUCAAAAAAAAAACAAAGAAAACUAGGCUUAAUUGGGCAGAUGCUGGGAAACUUGAAAAGUUUUGAGCAAGUAGUGACACGAUCAGCUUUCAGAAAGUUAAUUUGGCAGCUCAGUGUGGAUGGCUGGGAGGAGAGUGAGGUGCACCUGUGUUUGCGCCCUGCUCUGCCAUCUGAUGGCUGCAUUAUUUACUUCAACAAACUACUCAAACAUGGUACACCACAGUUUGCUCAUCUGUAAAACAGAGACAAAUACUAAAGGGUUAUGUAAGAUGUUAGUAGUUGUUACCGCUGCCACUGCUACUGCCAGGAGGAUGAGGUUGAAGGUUCUUUUGAGUGCCUAGCUAGAGGAAGUGCGGGUACUGACCAGGGUGGGGACUGGGAGAUGAUAAAGGAAGGAAAUAGUAGGAAAGACACUAAAGGAGUAGCAUCUGUGUGUUUAAGUAGGUUGGGUGUCAACUGUGGGCGACUGGAGACAAAGAUGAGAUGAAAAUGUAAAGGGAGUGAGUCAGAGUGGGAGGUUUGAGGGGAGUAGAGAUUUGAAUCCGCCAAUUGUAUACAGCGGGAAAGGAGUCUAAGAACAGUGAGGACCUGGUUGAGGUUUGAGAAUGUGAAUUUAUGAUGGACCCUAAAGUACUUUCUUUUUUUUUUCUUUAAUUUGUUUUGGUUUUUUUUUUUCUGCAGCCCAAGAAGGGAGGUGUGGAUCUUGGGCCUGGCUGCUUGUGAGCCAGUCCGAUGGGAUGCGGAUAAGGAACUUUAGGGCCAGGAUGGCAGUGCUAGUAGAGGAGGGGGUCACGGAAGCUGCUGGGACAGGAACCAGAGGCAGGGUGGAGGCUGGAACCUGGAGGCUGAAGGUCUUGAUGAGGACGAAGCACAGGCCCAGUGAACAGAAGACAGGGAGUAGGAGAGGUGGAUGGGGCUCUUAGGAGGCCAUGUACCCAGGAAGACUGACAUUAAGUGACCAUUUUAAAAAAAUCAACUUAAUUGGCCAAGGCACAGCGGCUCACACCUGUAAUGCCAGUACUUUGGAAGGCAGAGGCAAGAGGAUCACUUGAGCCCAGGAGUUUAAGAUCAACCUGGGCUGGGCACAGUGGCUCAUGCCUAUAAUCCCAGCACUUUGAGAGGCUGAGACGGGUGGAUCACGAGGCUAAGAGAUCAAGACCAUCCUGGUCAACAUGGUGAAACCCCAUCUCUACUGAAAAUACAAAAAUUAGCUGGGCAGGGUGGCGCACACCUAUAGUCCCAGCUACUCGGGAGGCUGAAGCAGGAGAAUUGCUUGAACACAAGAGGCAGAGCUUGCGGUGAGCUGAGAUUGUGCCAUUGUACUCCAGCCUGGGUAACAAGAGUGAAAGUCCGUCUCAAAAAAAAAAAAAAAAGAUCAACCCGGGCAGCAUAGCAAGACCUCAUCUCUACAAGAAAUAAAAAAAAUAGCUGGUUAUGGUGGUACAUGAUACUAGUCCCAGCUCUUCAGGAGGCUGAGGCAAGAGGAUCACUUUAGCUCAGGAGUUUAAAGCUGUAGUGAGUUGUGAUUGCUCCACUGCAUUCUAGCCUGGGUGACAGAGCAAGACCCUAUCUCUAAAAAAAGCUGAGUGUGUGUGUGUUGCGGGGAGGGGGGUUGUUUUUUCUUUGAGAGAGAGUUUUGCUCUGUUGCCCAUGCUAGAGUACAAUGUCAUGAUCUUGGUUCCCUGUAAACUCUGCCUCCUGGGUUCAAGCGAUUCAUCUGCCUCAGCCUCCUAAGUAGCUGGGAUUAAAGGCGCCGGCCACUAUGCCUGGCUAAUUUUUAUAGUUUUAGAAGAGAUGGGUUUUGCCAUGUUGGCCAGGCUGGCCUUGAACUCCUGACCUCAAGUGAUCCGCCCACCUUGUCCUCCCUAAGUGUUGGAACUAUAGGUGUGAGCCACCGGACCUGGCCAAACCAACUUAAUUUAGGUAUAACUUAAUACCCACUGUAAAAUGCAACUGUUUGAAGUGCAUAGUUUGACGUGUUUUGAUAAAUGUCUACACCCCGUGUAACUAUUACCCCAAUCAAAAGAUGAAACAUUUUUAUCACACCCAAAAAUUUCCCUCAAGCACCUUUGUAGUCAGGCCCCUAUUUGUUUGGGUCACCUGUAUUUGGGUCAUUAAGAAUUCUGGCUGUUAUUCAACUACUGUGAACCUUCAUGUGCAGGCCUGUGUGGGCACACAUUUUCCUUGGGACUGCCCUGGUUUUGAUUUUGGCUCCCCACCUUACAGAUUCUUGGCUCUUGGAAAAGUUCUUCUUUGUGCCUUUCUGUAAAAUACAUUGAUAAUGAAUGUGUGCUCAUUUUAAGGUCAUUGUGAAUAUCAGAUGAGAAUGUCUGCAGAACUCACAGGACAUUGCCUGCUCCAUAGGCCAUGAGCAGUCAGUGGCAGUUGCGGGUCCCUUUUCCAGAGACUCUAGGGGAGACAGCACAUGGCGAGGGGCAUGUUGUUUCAUGGGACACAGCAGCAGAAAGCCUCUGCACUUGGAGAACAAGCCCCAGAUCUCUGCUUGGUGGAGUAAGCACCUGUCUUAACGUGAGUGUGGUGCUUUUACAUAGCCUGUCUCUCAUGAGCUUUGUGACAGAACAGAGAACUGCUGGGCCCCGGACGUCUUAGGGGGAGAUCUGGCUUCAUGCUUUGUAAGCCGUAAGGAACCUUGUCAGCGUCAAGAAUAUUGCAUAGUCUUGGGCCUGCUGAUUAUUAAAUAAUAAUGUUGCUAUUGUUUAAAAAAAAAAAUAGGUUGAGCACAGUGGCUUACACCUUUAAUCCCAGCACUUUGGGAGGCCAGGGCAGGAGGAUUGAUUGCAUGAAUCAAUCAAUGGAAGGAGUUCCAGACCAGGCUAAAAAUUUUUUAAAUUGGCUGGGUAGACCGGGCGCAGUGGCUCACACCUGUAAUACUAGCACUUUGGGAGGACGAGUCAGGUGGAUGGCCUGAGCUUAGGAGUUCCAGACCAGCCUGGACCACAUGGUGAAACCCCGUCUCUACUAAAAUAAAAAAAAUUAGCCAAGCGUAGUGGCGUGUGCCUGUAGUCCCAGAUACUCGGGAGGCUGAGGCAGGGAAUUGCGAGAACCUGGGAUGCACAGGUUGCAGUGAACUGAGAUUGCGCUAUUGCUGGGCAACCGAACGAGACUCUGUCUCUUAAAAAAAAAUUAGCUGGGUAACAUGGCACACAUCAGCAGUCCUAGGUGUUCAGGAGGCUGAGAUGGGAGAAUUGGUUGAACCCAGGACUUGGGGCUGCAAUGAGCUAUAAUCAAGCCACUGCACUGCAGCUUGGAUGACAGAGACCCUGUCUUUAAAAAAAGAAAAAACACAUUACAAUCUACAUAUAAAUCUCUGUCCAAAAGGUGACAGCAAACCACCCAAAACCCUGUUCAUGCUGAGUUUUCCCCAUUUGAAAGGCCUUGCUGUGAAUGUAAUUGUGUGCGCGUGUGUGUGUGUGUGUGAGUGUGUGUGUGUGUGUGUGUGUCAGGAGCCCCUCCCCACCGAGCACAGUCUGCUAGUGCUCCUGAGGGAUUGGGGAGGGCCUGGAGUUUCUGGCUGUCCUUGGAAAGUUGAUUUAAUAAGGGUUCCAGGAAAACCAGCCUCCCUCCCCUCUCCCUCUCCUUCCCCUCCUCUGGUUUGGGAUCUUACACAGCCUCAGCUUGUUUCAGAUCAGGCUCUGAGAGAGGUGAGGGAGUUGUGUGGAAAGACUGAAGCCGGUUUCAGAUGAUAAGCACCAACUUUCCGAGCUUGAGGAGGGUGCAAUUGUCCAUCUUUUGCAAUAAGUCUCGGUGGGGAAAGCCAGCGCAUGAGUGCCACACUCCUUGGGGGUCCUGCCCCCUUUUCAGCAGUACUGUAGGUUAAACACCCCAGGCCCCCUGCACUUCCCUCUGUGCUCAGAAAACCUGCAGCUCAUAAGCGAUUUAAUGGCUGGGUUUUACAGCUCCUCCCACCCACCCAGAUUUGAAGGAGUCUGGUGGCCUGUUAGAGGGGGGAGAGGUUGUACUUAAUGGAAAAACCGCACAUUUCCAUUUCUGGCCUCAAGCCCCCUGGAUGCCCUGUGUGUACCACAAAGCAGGGCUUUGUCUCUGUUUUGCAGAAAUCUGCACCUAUGGGGGAGAGGCUGUGCGUGGUGCCAGAGCCAUUGCCAAACCUCAAAUCACAGGGCCCUUGCAGCUCAUGCAUCCCUGGGCAUCUGCAGCUGCCUUUGGCCCAAAGGGGUGUGCAUUUCAGCCUAGCUGCAGGGAGGGUCUCAAAUAGGUACUACAUGUUCGGUAGUGGGACACCCUCUGUCCCGCCACCAGUCUAGCAUCUACACUGGUCCAGUGUCCCAAGGCUGCCCUUGGACACAGGCAGGACCCUCCCCUACUCCCACCCCAUCUCCAGCAGAAUUUCUUCAGGUGAAAAGAACUUGUUUGCUUCUCAUUCACACUGGAUGGUAAGAGGAGUUUCUUCAUCCCCUGCUGGAAGGUGAGUGGAAUUCCAUGGAGCAAAAGGUGAUAUCAGAUGACCCACUUGAGAACAAGGGUGGAGGAUUUAGGCCUCUAGAAAUCUGCAAGGUGCUAAGCUAACAGCUUUCUCCAGAGGAUCAGCUCUGUCCCACUUCCCCUGGAGAGGUGGUUCCAAUGCCUUGGAAGGGAUGUUUGCAAGUGUUUAGAGCCAGACAGGGAGGACCCAGCCCUCGGCCUGUGAGAGAAUGUGAGGACGCUCACGUGGCUGGCUCUCUUAACCAAGCUGGGGCGAGCGCAGCAAAGCCACUCCGAGGCUGUGUUCUUGGCUCCAGCUUCUGCAUUGCUACACCAUUAGCUUCACUGAUUUUCCACUCUGUCUCUGCCAGGCCCACUCCCUGAAGUCAGGCAGGAGGAAUUUCUCAGGGAAGAACAAAUGGCUGUCCAGAAAACUCGCUGCCAGUGGGGGAAGGGAGGGCUCCCAAACAAAGACGCUGUCUAGUUUCCAUCACCUGGUUUCUGUGACUACCUGGAGUCGGGUCAGCAGGAACUGGAGAGGCGGUGUCAGGGAUUCUUUGGGAGCCUGUGGCCCCAGCCCGGUGGGGUGUUUGCUCUGGGCCAGGCAGAAGCAGUGAGUGAUGGCUUGUGUCUGGGCGGUGAUGGAUGGCCCUAGGAGAAGUGAGUGCUGGGGAGUCAUUAUCCUAGAGGGCGAGGUCUGGGGUCAGGGAGCCUGACCAGCAGCUGGCCCUGUUUUCACAAUACCUCGUUCCUCCAGGGCCACUGGGGGCUCCAGCUCACCCUGUAGACACCGCCUUUGCCUCUUUCUUCCUUCCGUGAAGCUUGGAAAUGAGACAACUGUUUCCCUGCUGACCGGGGAAGUCCAGCUGCUCUCAUCCUCCUGGGCUCCUGAAUGGGGUAGCCCAGGCCUUCCUCCUGAGUCCAGCUUGUUCACAGACUUGCAGGCACUGCUUCUCCCCACCCACCCUACUCCCUAGCCCCACUGCACCCUAAGUGAUUAAGCUGAAAGCUUACUGCCCUACCUGGAUCUCAAAGGCCUAGGCUAAAUCCCAAACUGUUUCCUCCUAGGAGAAGCCUGCCGGAGUCUGGGCCACUUCUGGCCUUGGGUUUGCUCUGACUUCCAGCUGGUGGCAGCCAAGUAGCAGGGCCGAUUGCCCAAACCUCUCCUCCCUGGUAGCGGGCCUGUUGCCUCCUAGCGUUGCCAGUGUGGCACCAAGAGACGUUGAACUUCGGCCCUCAGAGUUCCCUCCCUUCUCCUGUUUCUUGGCUCACAACAACUCUUGCCUUUCUGCUUGCCAAAUGAGGUGCCCACUGCCUUCAUGUAAAGGAUUUGUGCCCUGCAAACUAGGGGCUGUGGGGUGACGGAUCUAUUUAGUUGGUUUCAGGCGCUGAGAAAGAUCCACCCUGGCAGAACUUGAAACUCCCCACUCUCUUUCAUAUGUUGUGGUGUGGCUGAGCCUCCUGGAAUGGGUUAUGUAAAAGCAGGAGGAUGGUGGGGUGGGGGCUGUGCCAUUUGUGUUCCCAGGCCCUGGACAUGGAGACAAAGGGAGCCUGAAGUGGGGAGAGGGUCAAGUUUUGCAAAUACUGGACUUAGUAGUUAUGAGCUUGGGCAGGGAAAGAGGUCAGAAACAGCAACACUGAGGUUUCAAAGAGUUAACCAACACUGAACAUUGAAUUCAGAGCUUGGCCCUUCCUCACUUUUCUGUAGGAGGAAAAACUAGCUCCUGGCUCACGGUCCAUUCAGUCACCGAUUUUUUUCACUCACUCAUUUAUUCAUUCAUCCAGUCAAGCAAAUUUCUUCCUUUUUCCAUAAAUACAACAUAUACGUUAUAUAUUGUUUAUCCUGGUCCCUUAGCUGUAAAUGUCUGUUCCAUUCCUUUUCUUCCUUUUCACUUUUUAUAAUUCCUGCUCAAAUCUUAGCUUGGGUUUCAAUUAAGGCUUAACUUAAGGGCUACCUCCCUUUUGAAGCCUUCCCCUAUCUCCAAAUUAAUCACCUCAUUUUUUCUUUUCUAUUUUUUAUGUAUGUAUUUAUUUAUUUAUUGAGACAUAGUCUUACUCUGUCGCCCAGGCUGGAGUACAAUGGCGAAAUCAUGGCUCACUGCAGCCUCCGCCUCCCAGGUUCUAGUGAUUCUCCUCCUUCAGGCUUCCGAGUAGCUGAGACUAUAGGUGUGUGCCACCAUGCCCUGAUAAUUUUUUUUCUAAAAUAUAUAUAUAUAUUGGUAGAGCCAGGGUUUCAUCAUCCUGGCCAGGCUGGUCUUGAACUUCAAGUUAUCUUAGAGAGUGAGUCUCACUCCGUUGCCCAGGCUGGUCUUGAACUUCAAGUUAUCUUAGAGAGUGGGUCUCACACCGUUGCCCAGGCUGGUCUCGAACUGCUGAUGUCAAGCAACCCUCUGGCCUCAGUCCCCUAAACUGUUGGGAUUACAGGCGUGAGCCAUUGCACCUGGCUGCUUUUUAACUUACAUUCUAACACUUAUUUUACUCUGCCUCACAUUAUGUGGAGUUUUUAAUACAUGUCUGUUUAUUCCACUAGAGCAAAGUUCUGUAUAGUCAGCAAGUAUAUCUUUAUCUCUCUUUUUUAAAACAUUAGUGUUUAGGCUGGGUGUGGUGGCUCAUGACUGUAAUUCCAGCACUUUGGGAAGCCCAGGCAGGUGGAUCACCCAAGAUCAGGAGUUCAAGACCAGCCUGGCCAACAUGGCAAAACCCCAUCUCUACUAAAAAUAUAAAAAUUAGCUGGGCUUGAUGUGGUGGCAAGCACCUCUACUUGGGAGGCUGAGGCAGGAAAAUGGCUUGAACCUGGGAGACAGAGCAAGCUGAGAUGGCACCACUUCACUCCAGCCUGGGCAAAAGAGCAAAAUUCUGUCUCAGGAAAAAAAUGGUGCUUGAUAUGUAGUCUGGGUUCAUCUUUCAAACGUUAGAAAAUUCAGACUUAUAAAGAGGAAAAGGAAAACUCCUAUAUUUCUACCAUGCAAAACUAAUCACUGUUAAUGGAAUUUAUUAUUUUAGACUUUUUUCUUGCAUUUAUCUAAAUCUGACUUUUUAGAAUUGGGAUUUAUGCUGUAUGUAUGUUUUGUAACUGAUGUCAGCAUUUGUAGCCAUACCAAGAAUAUAUUUCAUAAUGCUUAAGAACUACAUAAUAUUCCAUUGUGUGGGUAUAAAAAAAAUUAUCCAGUCCUUUACAUUUGGGCAUUUAGGUUAUUUUCAAUACUUUGCAUUCAAUAGAACGUACUCUUACAAAUAAAAUCUGUCCAUGUAUCCAAGGAUAGUUACAUUUUUUUUAAGUUUUGAUUAUAUCACUAUUAUAUCACUAUACCAAAUUGCCCCCAAAAGAUUAUACUAGUAAAUGCCUUUUUUUCUUUGUUUGUAUUUUUUGCUUUUUUUUUUUUUUGAGAUAGAGUCUUGCUCUGUCACCAGGCUGGAGUGCAGUGGCGUGAUCUCAGCUGACUGCAGCCUCUGCCUCCUGGGUUCAAGUGAUUCUCCUGCCUCGCCUCCCUGCAACUGGGACUACAGGCACAUGCCACCACACCCAGCUAAUUUUUGUAUUUUUAGUAGAGACAGGUUUUCAUCAUGUUGGCCAGGAUGGUCAUGAUCUCUUGACCUUGUGAUCUGCCUGCCUCAGCCUUCCAAAGUGCUGGGAUUACAAGCUUGUCUGUUAAGUGUCUUUUAAAAUAAUAAUAAAUACCAGCCAGGCACCGUGGCUCACACCUGUAAUCCCAGCACUUUGGGAGACUGAAGCAGGAAGAGCACUUGAGGUGAGAAGUUCAAGACCAGCCUUGGAAACAUGGCAAAACCCCGUCUCUACUAAAAAUACAAAAAUUAGUCAGUCGUGGUGGUGGCCACCUGUAGUCCCAGCUACUCAGGAGGCUGAGGCAAGAGAAUCGCUUAAACCUGGGAAGUGGAGGUUGCAGUAAGCUGAGAUUGCACCAUUGCACUCCAAUCUGGGCAACAGAGCAAGGCUCUGUCUCCAAAGUAAUAAUAAUAAUAAAUAUCAUCACCACACUCUGCAUGCUUGACAUUUUCCCAUUUUUACAAUGAUUCCACAGACAUAGGUUUUAUGACCGUAAUCAGAUGACUAAACUGAGGUUUUGGGGGGUUAAGUAACCUAUCUAAGUUUAUAUAGUGUGUGAGGGGUAGAACUAGGAUUUAAACUCAGGUGGUUCAGACUACAGUAUUUUUUUCCCCUGUUGUAUUGCACUAAGUUUCUAUAUCAAAUUGGGUUUCCCCACAAAAUCCAUGUGGACCAACUUCUCAAGGUAAACAUUGCUGACUCAGUCCCCUUUGUCUCACAGGAGUCUGGUGUCCCCUUUCUUUGUUGGGUAGUGUGUGUGUGUGUGUGUGUGUGUGUGUGUGUGUGCAGUAAUGUCUCUUGUGGCAUUCUGUAGGGAGGUUACACAGUAACAGGUCUGUGAGCUGCCUUAAUGAACAAGGUCCCUUAGCCUAGAAUAAUCGGUGGAACAAAAUCCCCAUUGAUGCUGCCAUUUUCACUGUUGCCAGAGACCUACUUGGAGAAGGUCUAGGAUCAGAGGUUGCCAGCAUGUUAGAUCCCACACCUGAGUUUUCUUCAUAAGUCACAGUUAGCCUAGAAUGUAUGGCAUGGGUAUUGCCUGGACACAUAAACUAGACUGCUUCUAAUAUGGUUAUUGUCCGACAAUGUCUGAUGGUGGAAUUAAACAUAUCAAAAGUUUUAGAGGCUGAAGCAUUAACAUUUUUUUUGAGGUUACUAGUGGGUUUUCUUUUUGUUUUUUUGAGACGAAGUCUUGCUCUGUCACCCAGGCUGGAGUGUAAUGGCUCUAUCUCAGCUCACUGCAACCUCCACCUCCCAGGUUCAAGCAAUUCUCCUGCCUCAGCCUCCUGAGUAGCUGGAAUUAUAGGCACACGCCACCACGCCCGUUAAUUUUUGUAUUUUUAGUAGAGGUGGGGUUUCACCACAUUGGCCAGACUGGUCUCGAUCUCUUGACCUCAGGUGAUCUGCCCACCUCGGCUUCCCAAAGUUCUGGGAUUACAGGCCUGAGCCACAGCACCAGGCCGGUAGUGUAUUUUUUAAAUAAGAAGGGCCAGGCAUGGCAGCUCACCCCUGUAAUCCCAGAACUUUGGGAGGCUGAGGUGGGUAGAUAGAGUGAGCUCAGGAGACCUGCUUGGGCAACAUGGCGUAAACUCCUCUACCAAAAAAAAAUUAGCUGGAUGUGGUGGUGGGCGCCUGCAGUCCCAGCUACUCAGGAGGCUGAGGCAGGAGGAUCACCUGAGCCUGAGGUAGAGGUUGCAGUGAGCUGAGAUUGUGCCACUGCACUCCAGCCUGGGUAACAGAGUGAGAUCCUGUCUCAAAAGGUAAAAUAUAUAAAUAAUGAGGAAAUGCAAAAACAGUAGGGAGUUCUGAAAUUUUGUUUAUCUUAGUGUUGAACAAAUUAAUGUUUUAAGCAAAAAAUAUAUAUAUAUUACAAUGCAGUUGAGACAGGAUUUCACUCACACUUGGGCCAGGCACAGAAGAGCUACACAGUUUGUAAAGUGUGUAUUAAAUCCGAGGUGUGGACUACCUGCAAUGCCCCAAGAGCAGAAUGCAGAUCUACUGAAAGUCGUUGGGCUUUUCUUCCAGUUCUGUUCAUUGACUUCGAGAGGAAAAACAUCAAAAGUCUUGGAGGCCCCGCUUGAAUGCUUGUAUUCGGGGCCUAGGACAAAUGCUGUUCUCCACCCUCUCACCACAGGUUAGGUCCAGCACUGGCCAGUGUUAAAGACAUAUGCAAACACAAUAAAUGACUCAUUUAAGAAGUGUCAUAUAAGCACACAAAAUCCAGGUUAUGAGGACAUCAGAAACCACAGGUGGGGGAAGGUGGGGUGAGGGAUGAGAAAUUAGUUAACAGGUAAUUUUAAAAUAAUAAUUUUAUUUUAAAAUAAUAUAUAUACCCAAUAUAUCCAUGUAGCUCCUACAUUUAUACUAAUUAAAAAACAAUUUUUUUUAAGGCCAGGCAUGGUGACUCAUGCUUAUAAUCCCAGCAUUUUUCAAGGCCAAAGUGUACAGAUCGCUUGAGCCCAGGAGUUUGAGACCAGCCUGGGCAACAUGGCAAAACCCUGACUCCACAAAAAAUAGCUGAGCAUGUUGGUGGGCACCUACAGUCCCAGCUGCUGGAAGACAGGGUGGAGAAUCACCUGAGCCCAGGAGGUCGAGGCUGCAGUGAGCUGUGAUCGUGACAGUGCACUCCAGCCUAGGUGACAGAGUGAAACCCUGUCUCAAAAAAUAAUAAUAAUUUUUAAAAACCCACUGGUGAUGGUUUUUUUUCCAAAGUGAGGGGACAGAUUGAUCAUCAUUUGUUGGGGCUACAAUGCGUGUGUGUGUGUGUGUGUGUGUGUGUGUGUGUGUGUCCGUCCGUCCGUCCGUUACAUAUUAUCUGCUCAAUUAAUACUUUUUUUUUUUUUUUUUGGGAGACAGAGUUUCGCUCUGUAGCCAGGCUGCAGUGCAGUGGCGCAAUCUCAGCUCACUGCAACCAACCUCCACCUCCCGGGUUCAAGCGAUUCUCCUCCCUCAGCCUCACAAGUAGCUGAGACUACAGGCAUGUGCCACCACACCCAGCUAAUUUUUGUAUUUUUAGUAGAGACAAGGUCUCACCACUUUGGCCAGGAUGGUCUCGAUCUCUUGACCUCGUGAUCCACCUGCCUCAGCCUCCGAAAGUGCUGGGAUUACAGGCGUGAGCCACCACGCCCAGCCAGUUUAUAUUUCUUGAAUAAGUAAAUUCACAGGUAAGUAACAAUUCAUUUUCUUUCUUUUUUUUUUUUAAGAUACCUAAUAUUUCUAGCUUUAAAAAGGAAAUGCAAGGAAGAGAACCUUUUUCAAUAGGAAGGUAAGGAAGAUAGGUGAGAAAUCGUUAUUUCUUUUUUUUUUUUUGAGACGGAGUUUCGCUCUUGUUACCCAGACUGGAGUGCAAUGGCACGAUCUCAGCUCACCGCAACCUCUGCCUCCUGGGUUCAAGCAAUUCUCCUGCCUCAGUCUCCCGAGUAGCUGGGACUACAGGCGCACACCACCAUGCCCAGCUAAUUUUUAUAUUUUUAGUAGAGACGGGGUUUCACCUUAUUGACCAGGUUGGUCUCGAUCUCUUGACCUCGUGAUCCACCCGCCUCAGCCUCCCAAAGUGCUGGGAUUAUAGGCGUGAGCCACCGCACCUGGCCGAGAAAUAGUUAUUUCUAUCAUGUAUUGAGUAUCUCAUGCAGUGGCCCCAGGUUUCCAUGGCUCAGUGUCACCUGGAGGGGUUAUGAAAAUGCCCAAGCUUGACAGUUCUAACAAGUUCCAAGGAAUGCUGAUGCUACCAGUCCAGGGACCACACUUUGAGAAUAUCUGGUAUCAAUUAAUUCUCAUCCCAAGAAAGUCUGUCAGACACUAUUUCCAUUUAACAGUUUAGAAAACUGGCUGACAGAGGUAAAACAAGCAAAAACUUGCCAAGGUACAAUAGCUAAUAAAUGGUGGAGCCAAGUCUCAGGUUAUCUAAACUCUAAUCCCUGUCCUGGGUGAGGAGGAUGGAAUGUCAGAGUCUAGGAGAAGAAAGACAAAAUAGGUGGGAAAGGGCUGAGUCCCUUUGCCUUGGAGGCAUGAGGGAGGAGAAGGAGUGGGACAGGGAAGUGAUCUAAGAGCUUUCCUAGGAAGGAAGGACACCCUUUUCCUGGCGUGCUGGCCUGCUCUGCCACAGCUUCUGGUCAAUUAUCGCUGCCUUUACAAUGCUGAUCAGUGCUCCAGCCCUUCAGAAGUGUCCUUUCUCGCAUUCAGAAAAUUCUGCUCCUCUGUUGUCAAACUACAGAGUUUACUUUUAGAAUUAAGGUUUAUUUUCCUUAGGUUUUAGGAAUUAGCUUUUGAACCUUAGAAGAAUCAGAUUCCUUUGCUAACUCCUGAAUGAAGUUCUCCUUUAGACAUUCAAAACUUGGAAUGUCAUGAUUCAAGUGUCAGUUGUGGCCAGCCACUGGCUCACCUGUAAUCCCAGCACUUUGGGAGGCUGAGGCAGGCGGAUCACCUGAGGUCAGGCGUUCAAGACCAGCCUGGCAAACAUAAUGAGUGUCUCUACUAAAAAAUAUAUUUUUAAAAAAAUUAGCCAGGUGUGGUGGCAGGGCCUGUACUUCCAGCUAUUCCAGAGACUGAGACAGGAGAAUCACUUGAACCAGGAGGCAGCGGUUGCAGUGAGCUGAGACCCCACCACUGCACUCCAACCUGGGCAACAGAGUGAGACUCCAUCGCCCCCAAAAAUGAAGUGUCAAUUGCAUAUGCUAUGUGCAAUCAAGGCUAUGAAUGCCUGACAUGCACUUGAAGGUGACGUUUAUUUUACAAUUUUAGCCAUUCUUCACUACCCCCAAAUUCCCAAUGCAUUUAAAAAAUGUACCUAGUCGUUCUGGGGUAAUAUAUCAUGACCAUCAAAAGAUGACAAAGUGAAUCCUCCAAGUAUAGCUGGGCUUUCUGCCAGUCUUAGAUUCUCGAGAAGCACCCCAAGCCAUGGAGAAGGGAUGAAGAGGAGAAGCAUUUAUUGAAGGUGCUGGUGGCCAGAGCCCUGGGACCAACACAGAAUCUUUUAUUCUGAAAGACAGUUCAGUUGAGGACUCUUCACUUCCCUCACAUCCGAGGGAGCUCUGUGCUCACAGUGGGCACGGGAAGGGAUGUCAGCAAGCAAUACCCCCUAUCAUCUCACAAGACCCAGCUGAAACAGGGGACAUUGGUUAGGGCUGGAAGGGACACGGCCAGUCAGCCUUCUCAUUUCACAGUGGAGGAAACCAAGGCCUGAAAGGGGAGGUGACUUGCCUGAGGUCACACAAUAAGUGAUCAGCUGUCACCUGAGUGGCUUCUUCAGGUGCUCUCUCUGGUAGUGCCCAGCCAGUGACAUCACCUGUGGGACUAAAUGGUUUUACAAGGACCUCAAAGUAUAUUCUCUCUCUUCCAGUAGAACAUGGAGAACAGUGACUUUGCCAAGAGUAAGGCUCUUUCCCCAGGAUUGUUCUAGAUCCCCAGGUCACUGGAGCCCUAAGCAUAGAUACUAGGUUUUAGCUUCCUGGCUACCACAGAGCCACACCCUCUCAGGUAGAAAAAUCUGAAACUGACUGGGCACCAUGGCUCACGCCUAUAAUCAAUCUUAGCACUUUAGAAGGCCCAGACGGGCAGAUCAUCUAGGUCAGGAAUUCAAGACCAGCCUGGCCAACAUGGUAAAACCUUGUCUCUACAAAAAAAUUAGGCGUGGUGGCACCUUCUGUACUCCCAGCUACUUGGGGUCUGAGGUGGGAGGAUCACUUAACCCAGGGAGGUGGAGGCUGUAGUAAACUGAAAUUGUGUCACUGUUCUUCAGCCUGCAUUACAGAGUGAGACCCUGUCUCAAAACAAAAAAAUCCCCAAACCAUGGUUUUUUUUUGAGAUGGAGUUUCCCCUUGUUGCCUAGGCUGGAGUGCAGCGUCCCAAUCCUGGCUCACCACAGCCUCUGCCACUUGGGUUCAAGCGAUUCUCCUGCCUCAGCCUCCGGAGUAGCUGGGACUAUAGGCACAUGCCACCACGCCCAGCUAAUUUUGUAUUUUUAGUAGAGAUGUGGUGUCACCAUGUUAGCCAGAUGGUCUCAAUCUCCUGACCUCACGAUCUGCCCACCUCAGCCUUCCAAAGUGCUGGGAUUACAGGCUUGAGUCACCAUGCCUGGCUUUUUUUUUUUUUUUUUUUUUUUUUUAAGCUGGAGUCUCUCUCUGUUGCCCAGGCUGGAGUGCAGUGGUGCAGUCUCAGCUCACUGCAGCCUCCACCUCCCAGGUUCAAGCAGUUCUCUGCCUCAGCCUCCCGAGUAGCUGGGAUUACAGGCCCCCGCCACCACAACCAACUAAUUUUUGUAUUUUUAGUAGAGAUGGGGUUUCACCAUGUUGGCCAAGCUGAUCUUGAACUCCUGACCUCAUGAUCCACCCACCUCGGCCUCCCAAAGUGCUGGGAUUAGAGGCAUGAGCUACUCCACCUGCCCAUGUUUUUAAUUUUUUUAAACUGAGAGUACUAAAUGCUCAGUAUUCAUACUGUGUGCAUAAAAGCGAGACUGAAGGAUGAAUAUGUGGUGUGUGGAUGGAUGGGAUAUGAAUGAAGCAGUCUCUGGGUAUGUGCUCUCCUGGAAAUUCAUGGAACAGACCAUUGGUCCCAGAUUUUUAGAUUUCAUGGGCCAGCAAAAUUUCCCCCCAAAUUUUUGGAACCAACAAAGGAUUACCAACUUUUUUGCCAAGUAAGAACAUUUAAAAUAAACUAAUGCUGCCUCCUACCAUUGCCAUCUAAUUCUUUCAUUGCAGUAAAAUAUAUGUAACAUAAAAUUGACCAUUUUUAUUUUUUUAAGUUUAUUGAUUAUUUUUUUGAGACAGGGUCUCACUUUGUCACCCAGGCUGGAGUGCAGUGUUGCACUCUCAGCUCACUGCAGCCUGACCUCCUGGGCUCAAGAGAUCCUCCCACCUCAGCCUCCUGAGUAUCUGGGACUACAGGUACAUGCCACCAUGCCUGGCUAAUUUUGUGCUUUUUUGUUUUGUUUUUUAUUUUUUUUUGGAUAUUUUUUGGUAGAGAUGAGGUCUCACUUUGUUGCUCAAGCUGAUCUCAAACUCCUGGACUCAGGUAAUCCUCCCACCUCAGCCUCCCAAAGUAUUAGAAUUAGAGGUGUCAGCCACCAUGCCUGACCAAUUUUUAAAUUUUUAAUUGAUGUAUAAUGGUUAUGUAUAAUCGUGGGGUACAGUAUGAUGUUUUAAUCCACACACGCGUUAUAUAAUGACCAAAUCAGGGUAAUUGGCACAUCUAUCACUUUAAAUAUUCAUCAUUUCUUUGUGGUAGAUUUUCACUAUUUUUAAGUGUACAGCUCUGUGGCAUUAAGAGGCACUAAGCUUAUUCACACUGUUGUGCAGCCAUUACCACCAUCUAUUUCCUGAACUUUUUUACCUUCCUUGAUGCCCCACUCGUUAAAUACUAACUCCCCCAUCUCCCCUCUUCCGGCCCUUGGUAUCCACUAUUCUGUGCCUUUUCAUUUUCAAAGGAUUAUUCAUUGUCUCAGUCUCAUCGUGUAAAACCAUAAGAAUUUCUUUACGGUGGAAAAAAGAUAACUUUAUGAAGCCCAUUCCUUUCUCCACUCUGAGUGGGCUGUGACCCAGCCCCACCCUUGCAGGGAUGAGAUGGGAUUGGGGGAGAUGGCAGACGUUUGGAGCACUGAGAGUCCAGGUGAACUGUGGGCUCAGCCACCCAUGGCAGGCUUGGGGGGCCAGAAGGCACAUCCUGAAACAGAUGAGGCCUCUACUAAUUCAUCAGCAAGUUUAGGGAGCAGCAACUUUUCCCUGCCCAGCUGCCCGCGUUUCCUUCCCCAUACAAUUUCUGCUGAGCUUGGGGGAGGGGAGGUUGUUCGAGAGGCCCAGGCCGGGUGAGGUGGGGGGAGGGUGAUACAUUCUUUUCUUUAAGGAACCUGACCGAACUUUAAGGUCAGAGCUCAGUGGAGAGUGGGAGCUGCAGGGUUACCUCUUUGCCAUUGAUUCAUCUCUUUACCCUCCCCCGCUCUUAAUGAUCUUUCCAUUACAGAACCCAGACCAGGAAGUACAUGACAGGUCACAGCUGCAGACACAUGGCUGGGAGGCCUGGGCUCUGGGCCAGUAGUGGGAGGGUCUGAACUCCCCUGCAGCAGUGGGACCCCUACACACACACACGCACACACACCACUUUAGCUAGCAACUUGGUGGAAAUGUUCUUACGUGCUGUCACAGGUGAUUUUGAGUUGGACUUUGCUUUGGGUUUAGGAUGUGAUUUAUAAUAAAGGCAGGAGAAGACCUCCCCAACCUAAGUGUUUAGAUCCCCCCAACUUUCAGUCUACCUAAGUGGUCCUUACCAGAUCCUGGGAGCUUUCUAUCAUUGUGCAGAUGCCCCAGCUUAUUUUCCCAAAAUGGGACCCACCCAAUAUGGCCUUAGAAGCUUCGCAAGGUAUCCGCGGCAGUUCCUAGUCACAGUCUUAAUGCCUCCAAAAUAGUAUGUUUUCCUCUCUUUGGUUCUAUUAAAAUACCAGGCCCAAAACUUGUUUUUGGUGGAGGUCUGGAUGCAACAGCACAGCCUUUGCAAACACAGAUAGACGUGGGUUCAAGUCAUAAUGGAUAAGUUGAGCCUCUUUCAUUUUUCAGUCUUCACUGGGGAUGGCUCUUUCCACUCACAAGUUGUUCAGGAAAUGUUAAUUGACCCUAAACUGUGUCCUAGGGGGCAGUUGUCACACAGGAGUUUCUGUCUCUACCGCCAGCUGUGUCAUUGGCUCUCUUCCCUGAAUCUGCCAAGGCUGGAUUCUGGUGCCAAAUGUGAAAUGGUGACACAAACUUCUAGGAACUGUGAGCGUGGACCGCGCUCCUCCCAUAGCUGCAGGGCGGCUACCUUUGCUCCUCUCGGAUGAGUGAGUGAACUUCCCUCUUUCCAGAGCAGUGCUUUCCUCCUGGUUAGAUUGGAGGGAGAGAAGCAAGGUGUGUUGGGAGGAGGUUGAGCGAAUGGGUGUAGUAAGAGUUUUCGCUACAGCUCUGUUCUUAAUGCAUCAGUAAACAAUGGGGUGAGAACUUUUGCUGGGGAGAGAGGAAGGAGGGAAGCUUCAUUUAAGACAACUCUUGGGUGCAUUCCUUUGUUAAUCACGUAAUUACAGUGCUUCUCCCAGCACAGGUGGGGAGGAGGUGGGGGUGCUGGUGCCCCUCGGUCAUUGGAGAAAGGUGGCAAAAUCCCUAGAGGAAAAAAGUACAGAUUUGAAGGAGGCAUCAGAUGAACACGUGCACAGAAGCUCCAACCCCAAACUCAGUUCUGAGGCUCCUUAAGCACCCAGAGACCCUUGCCUCUUAAGAUCCACACGGAGCUCUCCAGGCCGAGAGUGCUUUCCGCCUGGGGUUCCCAAGUGGGGUUCUACACGUGUCUUGUGGCUGAGCUAGGUGGGGGGUGACCUGUUUUUGGGGGGGUCUUGGGGCGGUCGCAGGGCCCGGGUUGUGACUUUGGCCAGCGCUGGCGGCUCCGCAGUAAAUUACAGUGAUGAGGUGGGACACACAAAAGGCCGAAAUCUUUUUUUAAUAAAAACAAAACAAAACUCCAGGCCCCAAGCCCCUGGGCUGCUGAAUGGCCAUGGCUUCCUGUCAGGAUUAGCCAGGCUGCCUGGGCCUGUGUGCGCGGCCUUUCUCCUCAGGAAAUACCUUUAGUAAGCCCCGGUGGGGUCCCCAUGGCAACGCGAGGGGGGACCUGCUGGCAGGGGCCAUUCAGCCCGCCAUUGUCCCCCGGCCCCUUUGUUGUGAGCUUUAUUGCCGGCCCUCUGGCAAACACAGCAGUUUGCACCGUUUUGUCAGGCUGAAUGUGGAGUUUUUACAUUUUAAUAGGCUCUUCUGGCAGUGGCCCAUUUGCAUGCAAAAUGUCCCUUCUUACUCUUUUCACUUUCUUCAAUUUAAAAAAAAAAAGCACUUCUCCAAAUCCCCCGGGUCGGGGCCUGGUGGACGCCAGUGGCCCUGGGUGUCAGGCCUCACUAAUUGAUUUGGUGCUCCCGGCUCUCCUUCCACACAUACCUGUGCACCCCAUUUUUGCAGCUUUCCUACUUGUGGACUCCAUGAGUUGAGGGAAACACAUGUUUCAGGCUCCUGUCUCCACCCCUGUAGGGUGGUGGCUGUGACCCAGGACUUGGCGAGAUGCUUCUGCACUCUGGCCGGGUCCUGCCAGCCGAAGGUAAGUUUUCAGUUCCAUUUCAAAGCCAAAAUAAGGUAAUAAAAAAACCUCUGCAGAGGGCCCCCGGAACCCUGCUGUGCCGUUCUGUGCUCCUUUUAAGUUGCUUUCAAAGCCACCCCGAGUUCCUCCCCCAGCCACAAUUGCCCCCUCAUUUAUCUCUGGGGAGUUUGUACCAAGACUGUAAACAUUCCUGGACCACCAGUUCCGCCAUGUUGCUGAGGAGUUCAGCCUUUCUCUCCUAAUUUUGUUAACCCAGAAAUCCAGAAAUCAAAAAGAUGGAACAGGGGUGAUAGAAAUGGCUGCCCUGAGGCAUCAUGCUACUGGAGAGGAUGCCUUGGUUUUGUUGGGGGCCAGUUAUCGAAGCCCUAGGCCCUUUGGGGUACAGAACGUAGAGUAGGUAAGACAAAGACCUCCUGGCAUUCCAGCAAUACGAGGAAGUGCGAGACACGGCCACGGGCAUGUUCAGGUCUAGGGGAAGGCACAUUCAGGUUGCUGGGAGGUGGAGAAUGUAGUUGGGCCAGUCUCAGAAGAGUGAGUUUUAAGGCCUAGGAAAGUGAUGGAGAUGAUUGCUUGUUGGAGAGAGAGAAGGAGGAAGGCAAUUAGGAGAAGAAAAGGGAAAUCAAAGGGGCAGUAAGGAUAUUGGCUCCACCGGGGAGGUGGAACUAGGGCAGUGGCUCUACCAGGGGCAGAAGAGGAGAUGAUUGAGAGGCUCCAGACAACUUGGGGCUCUCAUGGAGUGUUGGGGGGACAGGAGGCAGCAGGCAGGUCUGGAGCCAUCAGGGCUUGAGAGCCGGGACCCCUGUGAGCUUGUGUGGUCCAGAGGAUGUGGCCUAGGGGGAGGGUUGACCAGCUCCUUUGCCCAGCGUUCUUCAUCUUCUCAGUGGUCAUGAGGGGUCAUCAGCUGUAAUCUGUAAUUAAGAGUGAGGGAUUCAAGAAGAGAGAAGGUGUCAGGUGACUGCUGGGGAUUGAGCUGAGGACAGGGGAGGCAGGGUACUGUCUCCUAUGGCCCAGACAGAGCAGCACAGAUGUGGAGUGGGCCACCCCUCAUCACUCUGUGUGCUGUGACAGUGCUUGCUGGACUGAGCCCUGGGAGAGAAGCUGGACACAGUGGAGGGGACCAGGACUCAGCACAUGCAGCCUCUAGAGCUUGUCCCCGUUUUGUGACUUCGUGAGCCAUCUAUCUCCCAAGCUCCAUUUUUCCAUGUUUAAAUGGGAAGGAACAUGAGUUACCUGGACAUGAAGAAGCAGGCCCUAUGAAAUAUUGAGUGCGAUGCCAAAAUGGGGCAUUAUUCCUGUUCCUGAGUCUGCUCCUAUCACAAUGAAUAGCUCCCCCAUUUCCUCCCCUGCUGCAUUUGGACAGCUGAGCCUGCUGGACUCGCAGGGGCAGGAGAGUGUGUUUUAUAAUUAAAAGCACUCAACUGUAAGGUAAUGAUUGAUGUAAGCUAUGGGCUUGAGGAAAUGAGGGAGGGAAGGGAGGAUAAGGCCAAAGCAACCAACUUCAGAAUCUCGCAGGAGGAGGUAGGUUGUAGAGGUGCCAUUAGACAAUCAAAGGGCUGAGCCAGAAGGGCUUCCUCACCUGGGGAGGUCACGACACCACGAAGGUUGAGGCUGCUUUGUAAAGCUGGACUCUGGAUGUGUGUGGAUUCUGGAGAACCAGGCUACCUGUGUUUGAAUCCCAGCUCUGCUACUUACUACCUAGCUGAGCCUGGCUCUGUUGCCCAGGCUGGAGUGCAGUGGUGCAAUCUUGGCUCACUGCAACCUCCACCUCCCAGGUUCAAGUGAUUCUCCUGUCUCAGUGUCCCAAGUAGCUGGGAGUGCAGGCGUGCACCACCACACCUGGCAAAUUUUUUGUAUUUUUAGUAGAAACAGGGUUUCACCAUGUUGGCCAGGCUGGUCUUGAACUCCUGGCCUCAUGUUCCACCCACCUCAGUCUCCCAAAGUGUUAGAAUUACAGGCAUGAGCCCAGGCAGUGCGCCCAGCCUGAAGAUAGUAAUUCUAACUUUUUUUUUUGAGACAGGGUCUCACUCUGUUGCUUAGGCUGGAGUGCAGUGACACAAUCUCAGCUCACUGCAACCUCUGACUCCUGGGUUCAAGCAAUACUCCUACCUCAGCCUCAGCCUCCUGAGUAGCUGGGAUCACAGGCACAGGUGUCCACCACCAUGCCCAGGAAAUUUUUGCUUUUUUUUUGAAACGGGGUCUUGUUUGCUGAGGUGCAGUAGCGCAACCUCAGCUCAAUGCAACCUCCACUUCCUGGGUUCAAGUGAUUCUCCUGCCUCAGCCUGCCGAGUAGCUGAGAUUACAGGCGUGCGCCACCAUGCCUGGCUAAUUUUUGUAUUUUUAGUAGAGACCAGGUUUCACCAUGUUGGUCAGGCUGGUCUUGAACUCUUGUCCUCGUGAUCCGCCCACCUCAGCCUCCCAAAGUGCUCAGAUUACAGGCGUGAGCCACUGCACUUGGCCAAGAAUUCUAACUAUUAAAUACUUCACAGGGUUUUAAGUUAACACAUACUGAGAACUAUGCUGGUGUGUAGUAAGCCUCCACAUCAUAGGAUAGGAAUCACAAUAGGAUCAAUCUCAUAAGGUUCCUCUGAGGAUGAAACGGGAGGGUCUGUGUUCAAAGCUUUGCUCGGCCUAUGGGAUUUAGUGAGCAUGCUGGAAAUGUUGGCCAGUAGUAGUAUUGCUGUUUACUCAGAUGUUGAUGGAUCCCUAGAUAAUAUAUGGGAAGGCACCUGGUAAAUUGCAGAGUGCUAUGCAAAUAUGUUGUUAUUCUUCACCCGGUUCCUGUUAAGUUGUGGGGUUUGGGGAUGGAUGACUUCCAGACCAGAGUGGCUGCCAUGGGCCCAGGCUGGUGAAGUGAUAUUUCAGCAUGCAUUUUCAGGUGCAUUUGUCCAUGUGACAUGAAUGGCCUGCAUUCAUAGUCUCUGCAGAGAGGUGUGUUCCCUGGGGUAUCUGGUGGCUCUGUUCUAUCCCUCAAGUACAAAUUGAAAACAUUAUUUGUUACUGUUUUCUCCCAGCCUGGCCUGGUUUCCCACUGCCCCUCAGACCAAGGCACAGCCAUGCCUAUAAGCACCUCAUUCUCUUUCGUUCCCCACAGAUGUUUUACUUCCCAUCUAAAUCCUCCCCCUCCCUUCCCUACCAUUUUGUCCACCCUCUGCUCUCACUGCCAGUACUUUGUGUUUCAUGACCUCAGAGCCUGUGCGGAACCUGCCUGUGCUUGGUCCUGACAUUCUCCACUUGUCUUAUAAAAUCUUCAUGCAUAUCAAGGCACUAUGCAAUUCUUAGUGCCCCGGUUAGGGCAAGAUAUAUGUCUUCUGGGCCUUGCACAGUGACAAGGGCUCCCAGAAUCACCUAAUAGUAGCUGUGUUGAAGAAAGUUCCCUGUUUUCGCCUUAGAUUUUUGAGAACUGGGGUCUCAUUUUUUCCUAAGAAUAGCAAGGUUUGUAUGGGUUUGGGCUUCUUCAUGGUUCCAUUCCCACACGCUUUAUAGAGCCCAUGGCUGGUGGAAGACACAGAUUUAGAAUCAACUGGGAGGCCAAGAUGGGCGGAUCACUUAAGGUCAGGAGUUCAAGACCAGCCUGGCCAACAGAGCAAAACCACAUCUCUACUAAAAAUACAAAAUUAGCUGGGCAUGGUGGUGCUCAUCUGUAGUCUCAGCUACUCAGGGGACUGAGGCAUGAGAAUCACUUGAACCUGGGAGGUGGAAGUUGCAGUGAGCCAGGAUUGCUUUUUAAAUGACUAUGGGAGAUUUUUGUCCAGUCCUGCCAGAAGCAAAAUGCCGCACACAUUGGGUUGUUGGGAGUUACAAGCCUGCAGUAUUUGGGGGGAAAGUAGGAAGGGAAGAGGGCCUCAUUAUCAUUCAUCAUGUUCCUUAACUUGAACACACCAUGGGAAAGUCCCCUCCCAUCCUGCCUCUGUCCUUUCUAGCUGCUUCAUUGAGGAUGAAAGGACCCAAAAAGUGUGGGUCUCUGGUGGGCUUCCAAUUUCCUCUUAGGGUACAGAGGCACGUUAAAGAAGCAAGGUAGGUUUGAUGUGUGAAUCCCUGUCGCUUGCACUGAAAGGAGCACUGGUUGCAGCCUGCACAAAUUCCCAAGGUCCACCCACCACCUGCCUUGACCCAGGAACCUGCAUGGUAAUGAGAUCAGCACCUUGAGUCCUCUAACGAUGUUCCAGUUAAACCCUAACCCUGACCUUCCCACUCCUAUUGAUGAGAACGCUGAUUCUGUUCUAUUGUCAUGGAAGCAUAAGGCACCUUUUUGUUGUUGUUGUUGUUGAGAGAAGGUCUCACUGUUGCCCAGGCUAGAGUAAAAUGGCAUGAUCAUAGCUCCUGCAGCCUUGAGCUCCUGGGUCACGGGAUCCUCUCUCUUCAGCCUCCCAAGUACCAGGGACUACAGGCAUGCACCACUAUGCCUGGCUAAUUUUUUUACUUUUCUCAGAGAUGGGGUCUCGCUGUGUUGCCAAGGCAGGUCUUGAACUCCUAGUCUCAAGCAGUCCUCACACCUUGGCCUCCCAAGAGGCUGGGAUUACAGGCAUGAGCGUCUGCACCCAGCCCACAAUGCACUAUUAACACAUGGCACCUAGAGCCUGUAAUAGUGAACAGCCAGCCUUUUCCAGCCUCAGGCUAGGUCAUGGGGAAUCCAGAUAGCAGAUGCCCUCCAGCCUCCAUUCCCCACCUUGUCUCUCAGGAAACAAGAUGCAUAAAAUGCAUAAAGCAAGUGUUUUGGUGCCGCUUCCCUCACAGCUUCCCCAUUAUGCAUUUUGCGGACAACCUUUGUAUCUGAUUCCAAUUAAUCGGGUUCUCCAAGAGUUGAAAUGUUGGUUUCAAGUGACUGAGCGAUCAAGUGGCGUUUUUUUCUUCAUCUUUCUUGGGCAGCCCAAUAAAAGUGUCAAGUAGCUUUACCCUUUGCUAAUGGACACCUAACAACACCCUGGCCUAUGGGUCUUGACCAGAGAAAGGCCGGCUCAGGGCAGCCGGAGCUGAAGAUGCAAGGACCUUUCUAAUGAAGACAUAAGUGAGGGAUGCUGGAAAGACCAAAAGAGAAUGGAAAGUACUGACAUGAUAGUUGCAGGGUGCCAGUGCGCAGUCAUGCCCCUGAAUCAGCCACCUUACAUAGCCCAGGGUCAGGACCACUGCACGGGGAGGGCCUGGUAAGCGUACAAGCAGUUGGUUCCAUCUCUUCCUAUAAGAAAGUGGCAUCGGCCAGGCGUGGUGGCUCAAGCCUGUAAUCCCAGCACUUUGGGAGGCCGAGGCGGGUGGAUCAUGAGGUCAAGAGAUCGAGACCAUACUGGUCAACAUGUUGAAACCCCGUCUCUACUAAAAAUACAAAAAAUUAGCUGGGCAUGGUAGCGCAUGCCUAUAAUCCCAGCUAUUCAGGAGGCUGAGGCAGGAGAAUUGCUUGAACCCAGGAGGUGGAGGUUGCGGUGAGCCGAGAUUGCGCCAUUGUACUCCAGCCUGGGUAACAAGAGCGAAAGUCCGUCUCAAAAAAAAAAAAAAAAAAAAGAAAGUGGCAUCAUCCCUGCUUUGUAAACAGACCCUGACACACACCAAGGGCAACUCCUAGCCAUGGGGAAAAGCCACUAGAACCCAAGGGUAGGCUGAUUUUUGGUUCCUCUGAAAGUUAGCUUUUGCUGGACGCCAGUUUCAGUUCUGGCCUUAUUCAGUAGUCUCUGGGUUUCUGACAUUGUUAGGAACCAAGGGACAAUUAUGAUAGGUACGUCUGCUCUGAGUUGCUUGCUAAUUUCUAGGAGAGACUUGGACACUUUGGACAACAAAGAAGCAAUACAGGCCGACAGUGGUGGCUCACAUCUGUAAUCCCAGCGCUUUGGGAGGCCAAGGUGGGUGGAUCACCUGAGGUCAGGAGUUUGAGACCAGCCUGACCAACAUGGUGAAACUCCAUCCCUACUAAAAAUACAAAAUUAGCCGGGUGUGGUGGCACAUGCCUGUAAUCAUAGCUACUUGGGAGGCUGAAGCAGGAGAAUCACUUGAACCCAGGAGGCAAAGGUUGCAGUGAGCCGAGAUCGUACCAUUGCACUCCACCUGGGCAACUAGUUUGAAACUGUCCCUCAAACAAGAAGUAAUCCAGUUCUUUAAGAUGUGGUCAUAGGUGGUGUGGAGCUGCAGUCUGCCUGCUCCUUCUCACUCAGCACUAUUCCGAACAAGUCAGUCAGGAAGCCGCGCUGGAGCCAUGGCUUUUAAGGAUACCAAAAAACACGUGUGAAGCUGGAGGUGGCCAUUCACCAAAUUCGAAUCUCUCUAAUGAGCCGCAAUAUAAAAUCCCUGGAGAAAGCGUGUGCUGACUUGAUCAGAGGAACAAAGAGAAGGAAUCUCAAGGUGAAGGGACCAGUUAGAAUGCCUGCCAAGACUUUGAAAAUCAGUAUAAGAAAAACUUGUGGUGAAGGUUCUGAGACGUGGGAUCAUUUCCAGAUGAAAAUCCACAAGCAACCCACUGACUUACACAGUUCUUCUGAGAUUGUUAUGCAGUUGGUUUCCGUCAGUAUUGAGCCAGGAAUUGAGGCGGAAGUCACCAUUGCAGAUGCUCAAAGUCAACUAUUUUAAUAAAUUGAUUACCAGUUGUUA
This is a non-coding RNA of Callithrix jacchus (white-tufted-ear marmoset), 26644 nucleotides long. The record is from RefSeq and is a predicted model, not a curated record. Lineage: Eukaryota; Metazoa; Chordata; Mammalia; Primates; Cebidae.